UCCAUUUGCUCUCUUUCCCUCCUCUGGUCUCCCCCCACUUUCCUUUCCUAAUAGGAGUCUACAUCUGGGAACCAAAAACAUGAGAGAGAGAGAUAGAAAGAGACAGAGACACAGACAGAGACAGACAGAUGAUGGAUGCUUCCAGAGAUCCUCUCAACUUGGCUGGGAGCUUCUUUGUCCAUGCUGUAAGACGGGCAUCUUGAGGAACACGCAAGGAAAGGAGAAUGAAGGCAUCUCACACGCAAGAUGGUCCAGAUGCCCCUUCGUCUUCAACAGAUUGAGGACAGUUGGCUGCCAUUCACUGCUUGCGAAGGUAAAAAGGCUUAAACUUCAGACAAAUCUGGAGGAUGAGAUACUAUGUGAAGAGAACCCUCAGCCAUUCCAGCCAUCCCAUCUGACACCAUAGACAUAUGAGUGAGAUUCUAGACAGUGGCUGUUGAGCCACUAGUGAAAUGUGGCUAGUAUGAAUUGAAAUGUAUUGUUGUUUUUUUAAGUUUUUAUUUAUUUAUUUUGAGAGAGAGAGAGUA
This is a long non-coding RNA of Leopardus geoffroyi (Geoffroy's cat), 527 nucleotides long. RefSeq lists it as uncharacterized. The transcript is spliced from 3 exons. The record is from RefSeq and is a predicted model, not a curated record. Lineage: Eukaryota; Metazoa; Chordata; Mammalia; Carnivora; Felidae.